RNAcentral lists this transfer RNA (66 nucleotides) under Omalonyx unguis. Its description in RNAcentral is "tRNA-Met". The record is from RNAcentral. Lineage: Eukaryota; Metazoa; Mollusca; Gastropoda; Stylommatophora; Succineidae.
UCUUUAAUAAGCUAAAUAAAGCUGUUGGACUCAUAAUCCAAAAAUGACUAAAAACAUCUUAAAGAA